UACGAAGGGGGCUAGCGUUGUUCGGAAUUACUGGGCGUAAAGGGCGCGUAGGCGGUACUUCAAGUUAGGCGUGAAAGCCCGGGGCUCAACCCCGGAACUGCCUUUAAGACUGCAUCGCUUGAACAUCGGAGAGGUGAGUGGAAUUCCGAGUGUAGAGGUGAAAUUCGUAGAUAUUCGGAAGAACACCAGUGGCGAAGGCGGCUCACUGGACGAUUGUUGACGCUGAGGUGCGAAAGCGUGGGGAGCAAACAGG
This 253-nucleotide ribosomal RNA is filed under the name uncultured bacterium. RNAcentral describes it as "partial 16S ribosomal RNA". It matches the Rfam family "Bacterial small subunit ribosomal RNA", at positions 524 to 776 of the family's 1533-position model. The record is from RNAcentral.